UCUCUAGGUUUUCUCUCUCUUCGAGUAGAAAUUGUUGAUUUGCGCCUAUUUCUCGCCGUUCGUCGCGCUAGCUGGUUUGUGGACUUUGGAGCAGCUACGAGUGGGUGGAAAGGACUCGCAUGAGAGCUGGUUUGAGAUAGUUUAAAGCACCAAUUGAGGAGUGGUUUUGCUGUAUUUCUUCACCCCAAAGUCAGAGUUAAAGCCUUCGAGGUUUCCAAAUUAAUUUGAGCUGAAUUUGUGACCUUGGGGACUGGUUUCGAAGGUGUUUCAACCUGGGCGAGGCUGCGAUUGACUUUCAGAUUAUCUUUGGCUGAUAUGUGAGGGCAAUUAGAGGCUUAACUUGAGCAGAGUGGGGCACCGUUGAGUUGAGUUUCAGGACUUCUUGUGG
Molecule: long non-coding RNA, 388 nt
Organism: Ananas comosus (pineapple)
Lineage: Eukaryota; Viridiplantae; Streptophyta; Magnoliopsida; Poales; Bromeliaceae
Exons: 5
Source: RefSeq, a predicted model, not a curated record